RNAcentral lists this transfer RNA (74 nucleotides) under bacterium. RNAcentral's name for it is "tRNA-Arg". It matches the Rfam family "tRNA". Rfam says of the family: Transfer RNA (tRNA) molecules are approximately 80 nucleotides in length. Their secondary structure includes four short double-helical elements and three loops (D, anti-codon, and T loops). The record is from RNAcentral.
GCCCCCGUAGCUCACGAGGAUAGAGCGACGGUUUCCUAAACCGUAGGCAACAGGUUCGAAUCCUGUCGGGGGCA